RNAcentral lists this ribosomal RNA (1445 nucleotides) under uncultured bacterium. RNAcentral's name for it is "bacterial SSU rRNA". It matches the Rfam family "Bacterial small subunit ribosomal RNA". The record is from RNAcentral.
AGAGUUUGAUCAUGGCUCAGGAUGAACGCUGGCGGCGUGCUUAACACAUGCAAGUCGAACGAACCUUCGGGUUAGUGGCGGACGGGUGAGUAACGCGUGAGAAUCUGCCCUCAGGAGGGGGAUAACGGUUGGAAACGACCGCUAAUACCCCAUAUGCCUACUGGUGAAACGAAUUUCGCCUGAGGAUGAGCUCGCGUCUGAUUAGCUAGUUGGUGAGGUAAUGGCUCACCAAGGCUUCGAUCAGUAGCUGGUCUGAGAGGAUGAUCAGCCACACUGGGACUGAGACACGGCCCAGACUCCUACGGGAGGCAGCAGUGGGGAAUUUUCCGCAAUGGGCGAAAGCCUGACGGAGCAACGCCGCGUGAGGGACGAAGGCCUCUGGGCUGUAAACCUCUUUUCUCAAGGAAGAAGAUAUGACGGUACUUGAGGAAUAAGCCACGGCUAAUUCCGUGCCAGCAGCCGCGGUAAUACGGGAGUGGCAAGCGUUAUCCGGAAUUAUUGGGCGUAAAGCGUCCGCAGGCGGCUUUUCAAGUCUGCUGUUAAAGCGUGGAGCUUAACUCCAUCAUGGCAGUGGAAACUGAAAGGCUUGAGUAUGGUAGGGGCAGAGGGAAUUCCCGGUGUAGCGGUGAAAUGCGUAGAUAUCGGGAAGAACACCAGUGGCGAAGGCGCUCUGCUGGGCCAUUACUGACGCUCAUGGACGAAAGCCAGGGGAGCGAAAGGGAUUAGAUACCCCUGUAGUCCUGGCCGUAAACGAUGAACACUAGGUGUCGGGGGAAUCGACCCCUUCGGUGUCGUAGCUAACGCGUUAAGUGUUCCGCCUGGGGAGUACGCACGCAAGUGUGAAACUCAAAGGAAUUGACGGGGGCCCGCACAAGCGGUGGAGUAUGUGGUUUAAUUCGAUGCAACGCGAAGAACCUUACCAGGGUUUGACAUCCUGCGAACCUCUUAGAAAUUUGAGGGUGCCUUCGGGAAUGCAGUGACAGGUGGUGCAUGGCUGUCGUCAGCUCGUGUCGUGAGAUGUUGGGUUAAGUCCCGCAACGAGCGCAACCCACGUUUUUAGUUGCCAGCAUUUAGUUGGGCACUCUAGAAAGACCGCCGGUGAUAAACCGGAGGAAGGUGUGGAUGACGUCAAGUCAUCAUGCCCCUUACACCCUGGGCUACACACGUACUACAAUGCUACGGACAAAGGGCAGCAAACUCGCGAGAGCUAGCAAAUCCCAUAAACCGUGGCUCAGUUCAGAUCGUAGGCUGCAACUCGCCUACGUGAAGUAGGAAUCGCUAGUAAUCGCAGGUCAGCAUACUGCGGUGAAUACGUUCCCGGGCCUUGUACACACCGCCCGUCACACCAUGGAAGUUGGCCAUGCCCGAAGUCGUUACUCCAACCCUUGUGGAGGAGGAUGCCGAAGGUAGGGCUAAUGACUGGGGUGAAGUCGUAACAAGGUAGC